Molecule: transfer RNA, 57 nt
Filed under: Dugesia ryukyuensis
Lineage: Eukaryota; Metazoa; Platyhelminthes; Tricladida; Dugesiidae
Description: tRNA-Lys
Source: RNAcentral
UGGAAGCUAUAAUUAGUGUUAAAUUCUUACUUUAAUGUUUGGGAAUGCAGUUUCUCU